Molecule: transfer RNA, 837 nt
Filed under: uncultured Acidobacteriota bacterium
Lineage: Bacteria; Pseudomonadati; Acidobacteriota
Description: uncultured Acidobacteria bacterium partial contains 16S ribosomal RNA, 16S-23S ribosomal RNA intergenic spacer, and 23S ribosomal RNA
Rfam family: tRNA (bases 434-506)
Source: RNAcentral
UCUAAGAGAGAACGUCAUGGCACUCAUGCUCAGGCGCUGGUGGCGCCGGCUUCAGCAAUGAAGUUUCAGCAUGGGAUGUUGCCAUGUACCCCUCGAAUCCAUCACCUGAUGGGACCAGAGGGACACCCAUUCGGACCUCUCUUUUCUUCGCUUUCACAGCGAUGGUCAGCAUCGGCUUAGCCGGUGCGCACGUUCAACCCGUCCUCGAAUAAUUUCUUACAGCUACUAGCUUCUAGCUGCUAGCUACUGGCAGCACAGCCGAUGAUCACGUCAAGUCACAAAUCGUUCGUGCUGCUGGCCCGGCGAUGGUCAGGCUAAGUACUAAUUGCUAAUCGCUAAUGGCUACUUCGGGCCUGUAGCUCAGGUGGCUAGAGCGCACCCCUGAUAAGGGUGAGGUCGAUAGUUCGAGUCUAUCCAGGCCCACCAUUAAGUGGGGGCUGUAGCUCAAUUGGGAGAGCGCCUGCUUUGCAAGCAGGAGGUCACCGGUUCGAUCCCGGUCAGCUCCACCAACAUCAUUUCAGCCAUCAGCAAUCGCCACCCGUUUGCGAGUGAUGAAUGCUGAGUGCUGAAAAGCAUUCGAGAGCCGCCUAGGCGGCAGCCGAGCAAUCGGCGCGACGAUAUUUGACAACUGAAUAGAUUGAUAACUACAAAGGCGAGUAUAAGAGUAAAUCUUAUGAGUACCUUAGAAUUUUCUGCUGGUGUGAGCGUCGAUAUGCAAUCGGCGUCUCGCGAUGAGCAGAUCUGGAAGAGGUCAUAAAAUUCUCUCAACACCGUCGUGAGACGGGUGCUUUGAGUAAAUUUUAUGGUCAAGUUACUAAGGGCGCAUGGUGGAUGCCU